This 254-nucleotide unclassified non-coding RNA is filed under the name uncultured bacterium. RNAcentral's name for it is "contains 16S-23S intergenic spacer region". It matches the Rfam family "Bacterial small subunit ribosomal RNA", at positions 524 to 776 of the family's 1533-position model. The record is from RNAcentral.
AACGUAGGACGCGAACGUUAUCCGGAAUUACUGGGCGUAAAGGGCGCGCAGGCGGUUCGGUAAGUUAGGCAUGAAAGCUCCCUGGCUAAACCGGGAGAGGAUGUCUGAUACUGUCGGACUAGAGUAAGGUAGAGGGGUGUAGAAUUCCGCGUGUAGUGGUGAAAUGCGUAGAUAUGCGGUGGAAUACCAGUGGCGAAGGCGGCACCCUGGACCUUAACUGACGCUGAGGCGCGAAAGCAUGGGUAGCGAACGGG